This 1186-nucleotide long non-coding RNA is filed under the name Bos indicus x Bos taurus (hybrid cattle). Its description in RNAcentral is "lncRNA (ENSBIXG00005004439.1)". The record is from RNAcentral. Lineage: Eukaryota; Metazoa; Chordata; Mammalia; Artiodactyla; Bovidae.
GUUUGAGCAGAUGCUUAGCAGAAGUCGAGUUCCAUUUUCCUUAUGGCUAAUCCACUGCUAACACGUAUAGCACUUCUGGUUUUGAACACUGAAUGUGUUUGCAUUAUAGAUGGAUUUAGAGUGUGUGGCUGUUGUGUGUGGUUCAGAAUUCUGAGUAGUCCUUUCAGGGAUCACCCAAAAGCUGAGACAAAGCGUGAGCCAUUCACGUGGACUGUGCUGUGCAUCAGAAAGAUAAUACGAGCCACCUACACAAUCUAAAAUUUCCCAAAAACCAACGGGCUACUCGACGUCCUUCUUUCACCACAAGUCUUGAAAUCCUCUGUGUGAUUUCCACAUCGGGCUUUGCACCAGCCUGUCUCACGUGCUCAGGGGCUGCACGAGGCGAGUGACUGCCGUGGCCGACAGCACAGAGCUUCCAGGUUGAGUUGAGUGACUCACAAACUUGGCCCGUUUGACUUGUUUUACCCCAUGAGCAAGUGAAGUGGGCUGUAGAGGAAUGAAUGUGAGGAAUGCAGGUGAGCUCCAUGGAGACAGUUUAAAGCAGUGAGAGGAGGGAGGGCAAUAGAUUGAGUCGUAUCCCCCUGACCCAAACCCCCGCCCCAAGUCCAGCUUCUCUCUACCAACUUCAUCAUUUUUAAUGGCUUGCCAUGUUUCCUCCAGAGAAACCUUUCCUACACCUGAGAUGGAACUUCCUCCUCAUCAUGGUUUAUAAGGGUUAAUAUCGUGCUGAGUGUUUCUAUUUGCUAGGGACUCUUAGAGAACAUUUUCUCAGAAUUAAAAUGUUCAGAGUUAAUACCUAUUCACGUAACCUGUUCUGCACAUUUUGGUGCAAGUCACUUUACAUCCAGAAAGUAAGCAGUGCAGGCUGUGUCAUUUGCUGUUUCAUAGGACCAGCUGAUUCUAAACCUGGAAACCCUGAGAGCCGAAGGGGACCAGACAAGACUGCGAGGGGCUCCCUUCCACCACAGCUCGACAGGCUCUCAGGACAACCCCGGGAACAACCCCAGCAGCGGCACCAGCAGGCAGGACUCGCUGCACAAAGCCCCAAAGAAAAAGGGCAUCAAUCAAGUCCUCCAUCAGCCCCUUGUUUCACAAGAAGGAAAAGGGCCGGCCUGAACACCCCAACAAGGAGGCAUUAGGACCAGGUGGGUGCUUCACCUUUCAGAGGGAGGAGGGCCUGCAGGCA